CCUACGGGAGGCAGCAGUGAGGAAUAUUGGUCAAUGGACGAGAGUCUGAACCAGCCAAGUAGCGUGAAGGAUGACUGCCCUAUGGGUUGUAAACUUCUUUUAUAUGGGAAUAAAAUGUUCCACGUGUGGGAUUUUGUAUGUACCAUAUGAAUAAGGAUCGGCUAACUCCGUGCCAGCAGCCGCGGUAAUACGGAGGGUCCGAGCGUUAUCCGGAUUUAUUGGGUUUAAAGGGAUCGUAGGUGGAUUGUUAAGUCAGUUGUGAAAGUUUGCGGCUCAACCGUAAAAUUGCAGUUGAAACUGGCAGUCUUGAGUACAGUAGAGGUGGGCGGAAUUCGUGGUGUAGCGGUGAAAUGCUUAGAUAUCACGAAGAACUCCGAUUGCGAAGGCAGUUCACUGGACUGCAACUGACACUGAGGCUCGAAAGUGUGGGUAUCAAACAGGAUUAGAUACCCUUGUAGUC
This 460-nucleotide ribosomal RNA is filed under the name uncultured bacterium. RNAcentral describes it as "partial 16S ribosomal RNA". It matches the Rfam family "Bacterial small subunit ribosomal RNA", at positions 338 to 795 of the family's 1533-position model. The record is from RNAcentral.